CCUACGGGGUGCUGCAGUGGGGGAUAUUGGACAAUGGGGGGAACCCUGAUCCAGCGACGCCGCGUGAGUGAAGAAGUAUUUCGGUAUGUAAAGCUCUGUCAGCAGGGAAGAAAGCAAUGACGGUACCUGACCAAGAAGCCCCGGCUAACUACGUGCCAGCAGCCGCGGGAAUACGUAGGGGGCAAGCGUUAUCCGGAAUUACUGGGUGUAAAGGGAGCGUAGACGGCUGUGCAAGUCUGGAGUGAAAGGCGGGGGCCCAACCCCCGGACUGCUCUGGAAACUGUAUGGCUGGAGUGCAGGAGAGGGAAGCGGAAUUCCUAGUGUAGAGGUGAAAUGCGUAGAUAUUAGGAGGAACACCAGUGGCGAAGGCGGCUUACUGGACUGUAACUGACGUUGAGGCUCGAAAGCGUGGGGAGCAAACAGGAUUAGAUACCCCUGUAGUC
Molecule: ribosomal RNA, 443 nt
Filed under: uncultured bacterium
Lineage: Bacteria
Description: partial 16S ribosomal RNA
Rfam family: Bacterial small subunit ribosomal RNA
Source: RNAcentral